Long non-coding RNA from Tripterygium wilfordii, 1024 nucleotides. RefSeq lists it as uncharacterized. The transcript is spliced from 2 exons. Lineage: Eukaryota; Viridiplantae; Streptophyta; Magnoliopsida; Celastrales; Celastraceae. The record is from RefSeq and is a predicted model, not a curated record.
UCUUUGUUCUAUGUCAAUAAUAAUUACCUCUUUGUUCUCUUUUCAAAAGAGUAUUGCAAGUGCCACUAACUUUGUUUGUACAGUAUCACCUUCUCUGCUAAACUUUAUUAUGUUGGUUCUUCUUCAGUCUUUGUUGGUUAUUGUGAAUAAAUUGCCUGUUAAUUUCAAGGGUUCCCUUUGUCCCGUUUCUUAUCUCCAAUGAGGUUCCUUAUUUGAUGGAACUUUUCAGGUCAAUGUUAUUAAUGGAAUGCGCCAGAUACACCACAAACUUCUUAUAUGCAAGUUACUAAGAAGGCUAGGCAUAAUGAUAUGUUUAUGAAAAACCAGAGAGAGAGGUGUGAUUGAUAUUUGAUUGUUUGUUGAACUCAUUGUCCUUACUGGGGGUACUCUGUUUUUGUUAUGUUUAGUUGCGUUGUCUUUGUUUGUUUUCUUGAAAUAUCAGGUAUGGGAGUUUCUUCAAGUUCCAUAUAUUGUUGUCUCCUACUAUGGUUUCAAUGGAUCCAGAUCUCAUUAGAUACAUUUUAAUGAAGGAACCAAAAGGUCUUGGUCCCUGGGUACCCAAAAUGCAUGCUUGAUAGUUUGGAAAAAUGCAACAUUGCAGCAAGCCAGCAACUCAUGGCUCCACUCACAAGUCACGAGUACAUGAGAGUGGCAUUGUUUGCACUCUCUAGCCCCACUAUGAUCAGAUACCACAUUUUUCAUAAAAAUUGAUGACUUCAUGAGAUCGCACCUCAGUAGUUGGGAUAGCAAAAUCAUUAACAUUCAAGAUAAAACCAAAUAGAUGGCUUAACUAAACAUUGAAGCAGCUUGGUGUCAUUGGAUCCAUGCCAAUCUCUUGAAUGAGUAGAAGAUACGUAGUUGAAUUUAGAUUUUAUGGUUUUUCUUUAUUUUUGUUGUUGAUUGUUAGGGAGGUUCGCAAAUGCUAAAGUCAAGGCUUCCUGGAUUGAUCUAUUAUAAAAUGACUGGGUGCAUAUUCCUUAUUCUAUUUUGAUUUUAAUGAGUUAAUCUCUUGCUUUUUGUGUUA